AUUCUUAGUCUAUCAUUAAUAUUUUCUUGGUGGAACAUUUACUCAAAGCUGACAUUCUUCAGAGGUAUGUUAUCCAGUUUUGCUCAGUUCUGACUGGCUGUCCUACACUAAAACUUAUUUAUUAUUGCUUUCCUGAUAUAUGGGUCCUUCCCAUUAUCAGCUUGGAUGGGAUGGGAAAAACACUGAAAAGGAAUCUAACAGUGCAUUACAGUGAUCAAUGUGUGUGACUGGUGAACACAGUGUUGGCUCCAGCUGGAUCUUUGUUGUGUGAGAUUACCUUGGUGAUUGAUGGAUGAUUAAUCUGGAAAGCUGACCACUGGUUCCUUGUUGUUUGAGCUGCUGCCAUUGGGAAUGCUCAGCCUGGGGGAGAAACAGAAGAGUAAACGCUCUGAGAUCAGGGAGAGAGAGUCGCUGAAUAAGUAGUGUGUUGGUGCGAAGGAAUAACUAUGUGUUAAAAAGAGAUUUCAGAGAUUUUCAGCUUUUGGAAAGCUACAACAUCCCUCCUCCAACAGCGAGGUGACCAGAGGAACAUCACAGCCAGCCUAAUACCAGAGAGGAUCCAUCUUUAGGGUUUGGUGAUAUGGAUGACCGGGCCAAAGACGACCCAUGGAGAGUGUAUGAGGAGGAAAUCCCCAGCAGAACCAUUCGGUACGCUGACAGGAGUGCUGGUCUCCAGGACUCAUUGCAGCUUCAGCACCUGCAUCUCCUUAAGGACUUUUUCUCCAGACAGCGAACUCUAAACGUCCGCUCUCAAAGGAGAGUCAGGGACUCUAAAACUGGCUCUUCAGACCUGGAGCAGCUCAGAACAGCUCUGACUGCUGAGGUGGGGGAAGAGUCCUGGAACAGUUCAUUAGAGGAGCUGGUUAAUGAGCUGGACCUCUCCUGUGAAGGUGGUGAUGGGUGGGAGAAGCUUUGCACCUACGUUCUACAGAAAAGCGCCCAUAAUGAAGACUUAUCCGAGCCUAAACAAAGCAUCAUCAGCUCUGAUCCACUGAUACGCCACUGCCGACACGUCAAGGUAAGUGAGGCCAACCCAGGCAUCUCACUUCUCCAGGACCCUUCAUGUUUCUGUUACUGCAUCAUUCAGGGUCAUCAGUAUAAUGAUGUUCUCAAUGAUCUCACCAGCGGGAACCAGUAACUCGUAUAGUGGAAGUGAGUCAGCCACCGCCCCUGCGUUACAUCACCAUCAGCAAAGGGGGGACACUCACUGUGUGGAACAGCAGCAGUCUUCAGGCCAUCAGGUCUCUGGAGGUAAGAAGAAAAAAUAUGAAUGAAUACAUACAUAAAUGUAGAUAACACCAUUAUAUCAUUGCCAUUCCACCACAAUUAUAUAUCUUCCUCAUCCGCCUCUUUUCGAACUGCUGCUGAUGUAGCAUUACAGAGUAGCAUCACAGCGACUUGGUUCUGAUACAUCAGCUCACAGAUGCCUUGUGCUGAUCGACAUCACCCUAGGAAUGAUGAGGGUAAAGAGCGCCAUCUACUGUACCCACCCAGAGAGAGCAAGAACAAUUAUGCUCUCUCAGGGCUCCGGCAGCC
RNAcentral lists this long non-coding RNA (1536 nucleotides) under Astyanax mexicanus (Mexican tetra). Its description in RNAcentral is "lncRNA (ENSAMXG00005007417.1)". The record is from RNAcentral. Lineage: Eukaryota; Metazoa; Chordata; Actinopteri; Characiformes; Acestrorhamphidae.